RNAcentral lists this ribosomal RNA (525 nucleotides) under Triticum aestivum (bread wheat). Its description in RNAcentral is "partial small subunit ribosomal RNA". The record is from RNAcentral. Lineage: Eukaryota; Viridiplantae; Streptophyta; Magnoliopsida; Poales; Poaceae.
AUGGCGACGCCGGAGCACGCGCACGCGGGCCGGGGCAACGCGACGGCCACCGCCAUCGCGACCAACAGGUGGGGGCCCUACUCGGGCGCGGGCGACUUCGCGGGCAACAUGGCCAUCAUCCUCGCGUCCCUGCUCGCCGCGCUCGCGCUCGCCCUCGCGCUCCACGCCGGCGUCAGGUGCCUGCUCCGCCGCCGCCGGCAACGGCAGCGGCAGGGGCGGGGCGUCGACGGCGCGGCUGAAGGAGACCCGGAGAAGCCGGCCGUGGCGGAGCCCGCGCCGCCGCCCCCGCUGCCGCCGCUGCUGGUGUACUCGGCGUCCGGGACGCGGCUGGCGGGCGCGGCCGCGCACGAGUGCGCCAUCUGCCUGGCCGAGUUCGCGGAGGGCGACGCCGUGCGCGCCAUGCCGGCGUGCGGCCACGGCUUCCACGCGCGCUGCAUCGAGCGCUGGCUCGCCGUCCCCACCUCCGCCGCAGGGUCACGCCGCCCCUCCUGCCCCACCUGCCGCGCGCCGGCCGCGCCGCCCUGA